GACAGAGGGUGCAAACGUUGUUCGGAUUUACUGGGCGUAAAGGGCGCGUAGGCGGCUUAACAAGUCACUUGUGAAAUCUCCGGGCUUAACUCGGAACGGCCAAGUGAAACUGUCAAGCUAGAGUGCAGAAGGGGCAAUCGGAAUUCUUGGUGUAGCGGUGAAAUGCGUAGAUAUCAAGAGGAACACCUGAGGUGAAGACGGGUUGCUGGGCUGACACUGACGCUGAGGCGCGAAAGCCAGGGGAGCAAACGGG
This 253-nucleotide ribosomal RNA is filed under the name uncultured bacterium. Its description in RNAcentral is "partial 16S ribosomal RNA". It matches the Rfam family "Bacterial small subunit ribosomal RNA", at positions 524 to 776 of the family's 1533-position model. The record is from RNAcentral.